GUUUGAUCCUGGCUCAGAAUCAACGCUGGCGGCGCGCUUAACACAUGCAAGUCGCACGAGAAAGGGAGCAAUCCUGAGUAAAGUGGCGUACGGGUGAGUAACACGUGGAUUAUCUACCUUUUAGUGGGGAAUAACCCUGGGAAACCGGGGCUAAUACCGCAUAAGUUCGUGAGAAGAAAGCAGCAAUGCGCUGAAAGAGGAGUCCGCGGCUGAUUAGCUAGUUGGCGGGGUAACGGCCCACCAAGGCGAAGAUCGGUAGCCGGCCUGAGAGGGCACACGGCCACACUGGCACUGAAACACGGGCCAGACUCCUACGGGAGGCAGCAGUGGGGAAUCUUGCACAAUGGAGGAAACUCUGAUGCAGCGACGCCGCGUGAGCGAUGAAGCCCUUCGGGGUGUAAA
This 402-nucleotide ribosomal RNA is filed under the name uncultured bacterium. Its description in RNAcentral is "bacterial SSU rRNA". It matches the Rfam family "Bacterial small subunit ribosomal RNA", at positions 11 to 429 of the family's 1533-position model. The record is from RNAcentral.